GCCCCUCUAGCUGAGAUGGAUUAGCGCUAGCCUGAAAAGCUUGAGAGGUCGGUUCGAUACCGGCGGGGGGCAC
RNAcentral lists this transfer RNA (73 nucleotides) under Streptomyces phage BRock. RNAcentral's name for it is "tRNA-Phe". It matches the Rfam family "tRNA". From Rfam's summary of the family: Transfer RNA (tRNA) molecules are approximately 80 nucleotides in length. Their secondary structure includes four short double-helical elements and three loops (D, anti-codon, and T loops). Further hydrogen bonds mediate the characteristic L-shaped molecular structure. tRNAs have two regions of fundamental functional importance: the anti-codon, which is responsible for specific mRNA codon recognition, and the 3' end, to which the tRNAs corresponding amino acid is attached (by aminoacyl-tRNA synthetases). tRNAs cope with the degeneracy of the genetic code in two manners: having more than one tRNA (with a specific anti-codon) for a particular amino acid; and 'wobble' base-pairing, i.e. permitting non-standard base-pairing at the 3rd anti-codon position. Lineage: Duplodnaviria; Heunggongvirae; Uroviricota; Caudoviricetes. The record is from RNAcentral.